GACGAACGCUGGCGGCAUGCCUAAUACAUGCAAGUCGAGCGAACAGAUGAAGUGCUUGCACUUCUGACGUUAGCGGCGAACGGGUGAGUAACACGUAAGGAAUCUACCUAUAAGCGGGGGAUAACAUUCGGAAACGGGUGCUAAUACCGCAUAAUAUCUUCUUCCGCAUGGAAGAAGAUUGAAAGACGGCUCUGCUGUCACUUAUAGAUGACCUUGCGGUGCAUUAGUUAGUUGGUGGGGUAACGGCCUACCAAGACGAUGAUGCAUAGCCGACCUGAGAGGGUGAUCGGCCACAUUGGGACUGCGACACGGCCCAAACUCCUACGGGAGGCAGCAGUAGGGAAUCUUCCGCAAUGGGCAAAAGCCUGACGGAGCAAUGCCGCGUGAGUGAAGAAGGCCUUCGGGUCGUAAAACUCUGUUAUAAGAGAAGAACAAAUUGUAGAGUAACUGCUACAGUCUUGACGGUAUCUUAUCAGAAAGCCACGGCUAACUACGUGCCAGCCGCCGCGGUAA
RNAcentral lists this ribosomal RNA (513 nucleotides) under uncultured bacterium. RNAcentral's name for it is "partial 16S ribosomal RNA". It matches the Rfam family "Bacterial small subunit ribosomal RNA", at positions 28 to 523 of the family's 1533-position model. The record is from RNAcentral.